Long non-coding RNA from Cynoglossus semilaevis (tongue sole), 2020 nucleotides. RefSeq lists it as uncharacterized. NCBI's taxonomy places the organism in Eukaryota, Metazoa, Chordata, Actinopteri, Pleuronectiformes, Cynoglossidae. The transcript has 2 exons. The record is from RefSeq and is a predicted model, not a curated record.
CCCCCCCCACUCCACACCCACUCGUUCAGAGUUGUAUCACUUCCUGUUUAUUUCCACAUAACUCUGCCUGCUGUGCUUCCCUUUAACAACACCACACACAGAGGGGGAAAUGAAGGGAGUUAUGCAAAGGCACAGAAACUGAAGCCGAAGCCAAAGGCUGAAUAAUUGACAGAGCGACAGGUUACCGUGGCAGAGCCCCAGGGCUUUCUGUCACCGUUGUUAUCAUUAUGAUCGCUCCCCUUCCUGAAAACGUGACUGGAAGCUCUUACUCACAGAGUUGAUCCGGUCGUUCGAGUUGUUCAGGUUUGAGUCGCUCACCUUCAUUGGAAGUGUUUUUGGAAGUUUGAGGUGAGGUAGAUAAAGAGACAAAGACAACAACAACAUCAAAAAAAGAAUGUCACAAACAGAAUGGACACAGAGACACUGUCACGUUGGUCGUGAAUGUAGGGAUUAAUAAAGUUCUAUCCAUCCGUCCAUAACGACACAGACACGGGACAACAAAGUGAAGACUAAACUCUUCAUGUGUGUCAAUAAACAACAUGUAAUGAUCUCUUCUUCCUGCUGGUAAUGACGACGGUGGCAGCUGUUCAAGAUGACUCAUCGCAAACAAAACAACUGUCACCUGAUUUUGCAAAAUAAAUUCUCCUCCAGAAACAAACUCCCUCCUCCUCCAGCUCCACAACAACGCCUCCAUUAUUCUGUACAUAUUUAUAUAAUUAUCACAUCAACCACCGUCGCCUUCUUUUACUGUGGAAUUAUUAAAUAACAUGUGCAGCUACAAAACAUAUUACAGCAUAUUUUCUUUUUAUCACUGUGAAAAUAUAGAGGAUACAAAGUAUGUUAACAUUUACAGUUUCUCCAGGGUGGGAUUAGUUAAAUUUAAUCUAAUCUAAUCUAAUCCAGUUUGCAAACACUACAGUCAACGGACACACCUUUUUUCAAUCUUUAUCUGUUAACUUCUGCAAGACCACAGUGAAGAUGUGGCUCAGAACUGAUCUACUCCCACCUUGAACCCAUCAGUCCCUCGGACUGCGUACACAACCAUUGUCCAACAACAUCUCCAGAGGCUCGGCCGCUGCGAGUGUUAAAGCGGCUGCAGAUUAUCAUUCAGAUCAGAGUGUGAUCACACACUGGCCCUGGUCUGUUUCCACUCACUGGUUUACCAUAAAAAAAAACAACAUCUUUCUCAAACGUCUGAUGUGAACGCGGCUGUUUUUUCUCUCCUUUCUGUCUGAUACAGAGCAGCACUUCCUGUUCUGCAGCAGAGCCAUUCACUGUGAAUGUUACGGUACAACAUGUCCUUGGAGCGCGUGGUCAAAAGGCAGCACUUUUAAAUGAAACACCCGCGGUGGACAACGAGGCUGAUUAAGAUGCAGAGUGCAGAAGGGCCAGGGAGCCGCAGUGACGUGGAGCCCUGACAGCUCCACUAACAGCUCGGAGCUAAAAAAAGAACAGCACAGGAAAUGUCUUCACACAGGACGCGAGCACAACCACCGGUGUGUUCCUGUCUGUGAUGCCACUUCACCGGAUCACAACGAAUCACAGCGAAAAAUCUCUGGUAACGCACGACAAACUGUACAAAUGCACCUUUAAUAAUUCAAUUUCUUAACAAUUUUCAAAGAGACAAUUAAACCCUGGGAAUUUAAAAAACAAAUCCUCAGCUACUGUAAUUAUUAUAUUAUUUCACCCAUUUCUCCCUUCCAAUAAUUGCAAUAAAAGUCCAUAUGCUAUGACUGCUGAUUGGUCGUAUACUGUGAUGUCACCGUCUGAAACGCAGCCUGAUCCUAAUGGAUUAUGGGGGAGUAAUCCUGAUGGCUCUCCAACCUCACAGACGGGUGUGUGGAAGGGGCUAAACUUGCGUCAUACUGUCCUCUGCUGGUGCCCUAAUGCAAAAGAUUUGACAUCGGCUUCUCCAUAUCAAAGAUUUGGAGGAAAAAAAGAAAAAGAAAAAAGCUCACUAAUGACAAUUAAAUGUGUCUUUGAGUGACUUGAUGACGGCCUGAGAACAAUAAAAGAAAGA